GAUGAACGCUGGCGGCGUGCCUAAUACAUGCAAGUCGAGCGAACAGACGAGGAGCUUGCUCCUCUGACGUUAGCGGCGGACGGGUGAGUAACACGUGGAUAACCUACCUAUAAGACUGGGAUAACUUCGGGAAACCGGAGCUAAUACCGGAUAAUAUAUUGAACCGCAUGGUUCAAUAGUGAAAGACGGUUUUGCUGUCACUUAUAGAUGGAUCCGCGCCGCAUUAGCUAGUUGGUAAGGUAACGGCUUACCAAGGCAACGAUACGUAGCCGACCUGAGAGGGUGAUCGGCCACACUGGAACUGAGACACGGUCCAGACUCCUACGGGAGGCAGCAGUAGGGAAUCUUCCGCAAUGGGCGAAAGCCUGACGGAGCAACGCCGCGUGAGUGAUGAAGGUCUUCGGAUCGUAAAACUCUGUUAUUAGGGAAGAACAAAUGUGUAAGUAACUAUGCACGUCUUGACGGUACCUAAUCAGAAAGCCACGGCUAACUACGUG
RNAcentral lists this ribosomal RNA (497 nucleotides) under uncultured bacterium. RNAcentral's name for it is "partial 16S ribosomal RNA". It matches the Rfam family "Bacterial small subunit ribosomal RNA", at positions 28 to 507 of the family's 1533-position model. The record is from RNAcentral.